RNAcentral lists this ribosomal RNA (415 nucleotides) under Triticum aestivum (bread wheat). RNAcentral describes it as "partial small subunit ribosomal RNA". The record is from RNAcentral. Lineage: Eukaryota; Viridiplantae; Streptophyta; Magnoliopsida; Poales; Poaceae.
CCAGUUCAUGUAACCUUUGCAUCUUUACAUGUCUUCGCCUUACUGCCAUUUUAUUUUUGCUGCUUUGGGAUUAGGUUCCGAAGUCAUGCCUUUACCUUACUGAUGUGCUGAUACUGGAUGCAACAUUGUGGACCUUUGGUUCGAGCAUGGCCAGCAUGGCCACGGAUUGUAGGGGAGGAAUGUAUUGCCUAAUGAGUUGUAUGCUUUCUUCGGAUCCUCUGUGCUUCCUAUCACAUCUGGCUUGGCCACCUACAGAUUCUUGGGUCUAGGUGAGCUCUCCAUCCACUCUGCAAGUUUUGCUUGCUCUUUCUGGGCUAUUUGUGUAGGCUAGCCCCUUUCCUAAGUCUCUUAUUUUAUUAUGGAUCAUGGAAGCGGGGAGUGUAACUCACAUUUUUAGAACACUGAUCCUUUAGGU